Molecule: ribosomal RNA, 490 nt
Filed under: uncultured bacterium
Lineage: Bacteria
Description: partial 16S ribosomal RNA
Rfam family: Bacterial small subunit ribosomal RNA
Source: RNAcentral
AGUGAACGCUGGCGGUAGGCCUAACACAUGCAAGUCGAACGGCAGCACAGGAGAGCUUGCUCUCUAGGUGGCGAGUGGCGGACGGGUGAGGAAUACAUCGGAAUCUGCCCAGUCGUGGGGGAUAACGUAGGGAAACUUACGCUAAUACCGCAUACGACCUUCGGGUGAAAGAGGGGGAUCGCAAGACCUCUCGCGAUUGGAUGAGCCGAUGUCGGAUUAGCUAGUUAGCGGGGUAAUGGCCCACCAAGGCGACGAUCCGUAGCUGGUCUGAGAGGAUGAUCAGCCACACUGGAACUAAGACACGGUCCAGACUCCUACGGGAGGCAGCAGUGGGGAAUAUUGGACAAUGGGCGCAAGCCUGAUCCAGCCAUACCGCGUGGGUGAAGAAGGCCUUCGGGUUGUAAAGCCCUUUUGUUGGGAAAGAAAUCUUUCAGGCUAAUACCCUGGGAGGAUGACGGUACCCAAAGAAUAAGCACCGGCUAACUUCGUG